GGAUGGGCGCGAGAAGGCAGCUUGCGAAGGAGCGGGCUGAGGGCGCAGUGGGGACGAAGCGGCUGCUGCGGGGCCGCGCGCGCGGGUUUGGCGGGAACGGAAGGAGCCGAAGCAGGGCCGGAGGCUUGUGCGUCAAGACGCGCGUUCCGCGUUCUCUGAACGAGAAUUGAGAGGAACUCGUGGCAGUAUGCGCCGGAGCGGCUGCGAAUUCGGGCAGCCCGGAACUGGGGGCUGCUGUAAAAGUCUGCCAAUGGCCUGUUGAAACGGGGGGGGGGGGUCGAAGCACGCGGAAAGUAUGUAGAGAUGCCGCCGAAAGCAGCCUCCCCACAUAGUCAGUCAUCCCUUCCUGGUUUAAAACAACAACAUUUAUUGUGGGUGCGGAUGCGCACUAUCAAUUUAGUCUCAAGCUGGCACGCAUGUGCUGGUGGUGUUGAGACUCAUAUUCUGAUGGUAGUUGGUGUGGGAACAGGCAAGGAAGCUGUGCAAUAGGGAAGCCUUGUUGGCUGCACGUGCAAGGUGACUGCAAUGUGUGCUCAGGCUUUUACUGUGUGGCAUAUGUGUACAGGAGUCCAGUGUGUCAAACCAGGGUGAGAUCUAUAUUUUCUCCAUGGAAAUCUGCAUCCUCAGGGUGAGUUUCCCAACCCACAGCCUUAUCAUGCGGUGUAAUCUGCUACCUGAGUUGUAACCAUCAGGUAGUGGGUUUCGCAGCCUGCAAAUGGCACUUCUGGCAGGACCAGGGGAACUCGCAUGGUGAGUUGUAUUGAACAAUUGGUUCAGCAAUGGUACUUCUGCAAGAGGAUGGUGAUCCCCAUGGCAAAUAUAGCAUCUAAACAUACCUCUGACUGCCUUCUAGAAAUCUGGGGAACUAGGAAGAUGGGUAAAAAUUCACCACGUGGCCAUACAUCCUAGGCUUCUGUCAUGCCAUGGUUUCAUGUGCACUGCUUCAUGUUUACAAGAAGCAACCAUGUGACCACCCAGUGUACAGGCUAAACUGCAAGAACCUAACCUAGGCAAGACUCUCAGCCGAGGCACUGCUGUGAUCUGUGGAAGAAUCUACAAGAGGCAAGAAAGGAUGAAGGCUAGGGGAGGAUGGAAAGACGGUCAAAAUAACUUAUUGAAACAAACUUCUAUAAUAUUAGUGGUCUGGAAAUAUAUAAUCAGCUUUGUAUAUCUCUAACCCCUCUGCUAAUAAUGCUGUCUCACACAAACAUUUUUUAAUCCAUUGGAGAUGCCCUGCUCAUAUUCUCAUCAGUAAAGGAAGUAAGAACUAAUGUGGACAGCAGCAAAGCCUUUUCAGCAGUUGCUCAGCCUAGCCCACUGGGCAAGGUCAUUGUGAGCUCUGAGCUCUUUGAAAGAAGGUUGGGAUAAACAUUUAGUACAUAAAUAUAAAACAUACUCUUUGUUGAGUCAUUUAUACACAACUUGUCUUCCGCCUUAGGACAGCAAAGUGAGGCAUUCCCCCCCCCACACACACACACAUGUUUCACAGCCUUUGAAAGCGUUGGCAUAGGUUGCUGUGAUUUUAUGCUCUGGUUGUUAUUUUGUUUUAUGACUGCUGUAAUUUUAUUAUGAUUGUGCUUUAUUGCCUUCCAGUGACGAAUAUUAUGUUACUUCAUUGGUCUUACGUUGUAAGCUAUCCUGAGCCUAAAGGGAUACGAUAGGGUAUUAAAUUUUUAAAGAAAAGCAAUAAGGCAGAAGGCCUGAGCUAUGGCUGGUCUUGCACUGUGCUGGUCAAAUCAAGAACUUGGAAGGAAUAGAUGGAUAAGGGGAAAACAGCCAGACAUGUGUAUGUAAAAAACAAAUCAAAAACCCUUUUACUAUUAAUAAAUUGCUAGUGUCACACAUGACACUUUGCAUGGCAACAUACACAGUCCCUCCCUUACAAUCUAAUUUUAUACUUUAAAAAGACAAAAAUGGGGAGAGAAAUGUAAACAGAAGAAGAGUUCUCAAUGGAUCUUUUGCACUCAGGUUUUCAGGGUUGGAUCCAGAGAAGUAUAAGGGAAACUCUGCUUGUAUAAAGGGCCUCCAUGGUAUCUCCUUCCUACUGCAGCAUUCUGUGACACUGCCCCAAGUUGCUCCUGAUAAUACCCUCUGGGAUAGCAUGGAAUUGAAGCACAGGGAGCUGAAGAAGGAUGGGAAUUGGCUGCCUUGACCCAGACACAGCUGCUAGCUUUGGGAGCUGUAUCAGAAGUGAGGAACUGGGACCUUAAACAUAUGAAUCUGCAUUGCUUGCAAUUUGUUCCACCUCUGCACAAAACUAGCAAUUUCAUAACAGAUCUAAAGCUCUGUGGAUGCUCUGCUACCCAAGGUACAUGCAGACUCUUCAACCAGGAAGGCCCCAUGCCAAUUCUCCAAAAGGAGGAGCACUAGUGUAUGUGAGCCUCUGUUGGCUUUUGGAUUUACUUGGAGCAUAAACAAGUGCGGCCCUUGUAUGAAGGAUAGAAGGUGGGAAAAUUGUGUUCUGAAAGGGUCACUUCACACAUGCAAAACAGAAGCUUGGUAGAUGCUUUGAACAACCCAACUUUGCAGAGGCUGCUCUAUACAGCCUGUUGUUUCUGUGAAACCACUUUUUGUGGAAUUCUGACAAUAUUAUUUGCUCCUGUGGAAGGAAGGGCAGGAUAUACAUGAAUAAAGCAAAAAUAUUCAUUGCAUCUCUAUAACCCCUCUAUUUUGAAGUUUUGAAUACUGUAUUACCACUGCUGCCUGUCAAGCUGUUUCAGAUAAAGUCAUGCUGUGGUGACAAGCCUUCACACUGUUGUGUUACAUCACAGUUUCUAUGUGUGAACUGAGCCUCAGGCCAUGAGAAAAAGGAGGAAGGAACGGAAACUGAUGUUUGUUUUAAUUUCAGACUAAUUGUGGUUAGUUUGUUUCUGGGAUUUGGUUGCCAUGUUUGGGAGAUCAACUUUUUUUGUUCCUAACUCAGCACCCUCUGCCAAGUUCCCAGUAUGCAUCUGUCAAGGAAAUAAAACCAGGUCCUGCUCCUA
This is a long non-coding RNA of Podarcis muralis (Common wall lizard), 2984 nucleotides long. RefSeq lists it as uncharacterized. The record is from RefSeq and is a predicted model, not a curated record. NCBI's taxonomy places the organism in Eukaryota, Metazoa, Chordata, Lepidosauria, Squamata, Lacertidae.